This 282-nucleotide unclassified non-coding RNA is filed under the name uncultured Glomeraceae. RNAcentral describes it as "sequence contains ITS2". The stretch from base 1 to 52 matches the Rfam family "5.8S ribosomal RNA", at positions 103 to 154 of the family's 154-position model. The record is from RNAcentral. Lineage: Eukaryota; Fungi; Glomeromycota; Glomeromycetes; Glomerales; Glomeraceae.
AACGCAUAUUGCACUUUCUGGUAUUCCGGAAAGUAUGCCUGUUUGAGGGUCAGUUAAAUAAAAAUCGGUGUUGUUGCUGCCUUUCGUGGUGACGCGUCGGAGUUGAGUCGUCUUAUCUUCGGUUAAGUGACUUAAAAUUUUGCAUGAUUUUCGAACGUAUUUAAAUUUUUUUUGUACGUUUGAGAUAUCGAAUAUUUUAUUAGGUUCGGUUAUCCUCAUGACUCGCGCCUAUAAUUUUCAUUAAAUGACCUCAAAUCAGGUAAGAAUACCCGCUGAACUUAA